Non-coding RNA from Rattus norvegicus (Norway rat), 677 nucleotides. The record is from RefSeq and is a predicted model, not a curated record. Lineage: Eukaryota; Metazoa; Chordata; Mammalia; Rodentia; Muridae.
CUGUGUUCUUUGUAGCUAGAGGCUUCCCUGCUUGGCUCCUCUUGAAGAACUUCAUUGCCUAGUCCUGUCCGGUACUCUAAGGCCAUAAAAGACAGUCAUUGACUUCAUUGAAAUGUCACAGACAUCUGAUUGGGGCAUUUUCUUCUUCUUCUUCUUCUUCUUCAUCAUCAUCAUCAUCAUCAUCAUCAUCAUCAUCAUCAUCAUCAUCAUCACCUAACAUACUGGCUUUCAGCAAAGAAUGUCUGUCCUCAAAUCACACCAUUCAGGACUUGGUUAAUUCAUUUCUCGAGCAAUUUCUUUUUUGGAAGGAAAAACAAAUAGAAAAUAUAAAGAGGUUCCACCAUGGAAACCACCAGCAUCGCGGUAAUAACCACAGCCACAAAACAAGUGAUUAACUGACUCUCCCUGAGCAUCCCCCAGCACUGCCAACAUUACUCUGCAAGAGACCUAGGAGAGAUACAUGGAUAAGAACCACAGAACAACACUGAGACAUCUGCUCCUCUGCCUGGGAAAGGUGCCGACAGGGACCUUGAUGAAAAUCCUGAUCAUCAAUUGCCUGUUAUUGGAUGUUCACUAGCCUUGGCAAGAGCAUGCUACUUAUGUCUUAAUCCUCGGCAAGACCAAAUGUGUGUACUAGAAUUAAUAUCUCCAUUUUAUAAAAGAGGAACCCAGGACUC